RNAcentral lists this non-coding RNA (21 nucleotides) under Caenorhabditis elegans. The record is from RNAcentral. Lineage: Eukaryota; Metazoa; Nematoda; Chromadorea; Rhabditida; Rhabditidae.
UUUUUUUGCUAAGAGAUAUCG